Molecule: long non-coding RNA, 1164 nt
Filed under: Mus pahari (shrew mouse)
Lineage: Eukaryota; Metazoa; Chordata; Mammalia; Rodentia; Muridae
Description: lncRNA (MGP_PahariEiJ_G0003473.1)
Source: RNAcentral
GGCGGCAGGAAGAGAAGCGGAGCUGGAGCGGGCUGAUCCCAUUUGCUGCGGCGCCUACAGUCACUUCCACCCGAAGACUCGGCUCAGCCGGGAUGGCUCUGCCUCUGCCUUCUCCUUGGCUCGCCCUUCUAGGACGCUCGGCGUUCCUCCCUUCCCUCUCGCACCGCGGCCGCGGCCUCUUUCCGGGCGCCCGAGGCCCGCUCCACAUUCUCUCCAGAACCCCGGCCUCGGCGUCCGGACGCGUCCCACUAGACGGGCCGUCCGGCCCACUCGUCGCCUCGCCGGCCUCCCUGCCCCGGGCCCGUGCUCGCCGCCCCCUGCCUGGCCCGUGAAGCCCUUACCCGCCAGCGGCAGGAUGUGUCGCGCUCCCUGCGGACAUGGCGGCCUGCUCUAGUCAACCACCCGCCAACUACCCACCACCGCCCUCCCGCCACUUCCGCCCAACGCGCUGACGCACGGCCUCUUCCGGCCGUGAGGUAGGGCGGUUCCGCUGAGGACUCUGGAUUCCGAUUGGACCCUCGGGGAUUUAAAGCGGCCGGCGUCUCGGUGACAGGAGUGCCGGUCGACUCUCCGGCUUGCUCCCUCGCCCUUAAUAAAAAUGGUUGCUGGGCGUGAUUUCAAGGCGAGUUGCGGGCUAGGAGGAUCCAUUUUUAUUGUGGGCAAGCCAGUCGUCAGUCUGAAAAUGAAUCCGACCUUCUCCGCGUUCUCUUUGCUCACGUGGAGUCCCAGCCUGUGGCGGAGGAGAACUCUGCCUGCGACUUCAGCGCACUUCUCGAGUCAGCUUAUGAAAAAGGAAAUGAUUCUUUCCAAAGGUCAUUUGCACAACUUCCUUUUCUUUCUUGCUCUUUUCUUUUUCUUUUUGUUUUUCCUUAGGGCUAGGAAGCUCCAGUCAGUCCGCUGCGGGGCCUCUGUUUGGUGGCCAUGAGCAAAACCAUUGAUUUUGGCAAAAUCAUAGGCACUUGGACAACUUGUUAUAAGACAAGUAAAGUUGAAGAAAAACUGCUCAGCGAGGUGGAGCUUUUAAAACACCGAAGCUAGGGACUGAGAAGACAGACGAAGGCGCUAGUGAACAAACACGACGAUCUAAGUUCGAUCCUUGGAGCACACAGGAAAGUUGCUCUCUUAUCUAAGAACUGUCAUGAUGGAGAUUAAAAGUCAAAAGUU